CCCUACUGCGCCUGCGCCGGGCCUGCAGUGCGCCUGCGUCGGUGGGCCGAGUGCGGGGCGGAGCGGCGGCGGGGCCGGGUCCGGCGGGGCAUGGCGCUGAGGCGGAUCCAGAAGGAAUACCAGGACUUGGAGCGUGAUCCUCCAGCACUGUGUUCAGCAGGUCCAGUAGGAGAUGAUUAUUUUCAUUGGCAAGCUACUAUCAUGGGGCCAAGUGACAGCCCUUACCAAGGUGGGGUCUUCUUCCUGAAUAUACACUUCCCUUCCGAUUAUCCUUUCAAACCACCCAAGGUUUCAUUUACCACAAAAAUCUAUCAUCCAAACAUUAACAGUAAUGGAAGCAUUUGCCUCGAUAUUCUGCGCUCACAGUGGUCUCCAGCUUUAACACUAUCGAAAGUUCUUCUGUCUAUCUGUUCACUGCUGUGCGACCCAAAUCCUGAUGACCCUUUGGUACCAGAGAUUGCGCAUACCUACAAAUCUGACAGGGAAAAGUACAACAAACUGGCCAGAGAUUGGACAAACAAAUAUGCAAUGUAAAAGUGACAAAACAAGAAACAGAAACUCCUUUACAUAAUCUGGAAUGCAAAAAUAAAAGCUGGCUGCAGUUUUAUGGAUUCACCUGUGCCGUUCCCAAUGAAUUUUAUACUUGGUGAAGGGCGAGGAGUUCUCUCUGGAAGCUGAGGCUCUGGCCUUGGUUUGAGCAGUCAGCCUGCCAUAUAUGGAUGUGCAUUUUGAAAUAUACAUAUUAUAUAAAUAAUAUAUAUAUUUCUUUUUUAUCGCCAGUGUCUGUGACAGCAGUCAGUUGUGCGCUGGUGAUCCAGCGUUGUACCGGUCACAGGCGGAAAGGGAGGCAAUAGCAACUUUGUAAGUGUUUUGUUUUGGAAAUGUGAUGCUUGUUUCCCUAAUCUAUUUAUGCUGUCUGCAGUUCAUCUUGUAGAGUGAGUGUGCUUUUUUAUAUAUAGAUUAUAUACUUGUGUCUGUAUAUACACAUAUAGAACUCAGCCUCCCCCGGUAGCACAGUUUUAGUGAAUAUUGUGACUCGUGGCAUGGUCGACUCGGUUGCUCUGCAUCUUCUGAAUCUCAUUGGAACUGGAGGUUCCUCUGCAGAUGCAGCCUGGUGCAAAUCUCUCGGCCGGCCAGCCACCCACCCACAUACCCAACUUUCUUUGGAUUCCGCUGAUGCCAACACUUUGGUUCUGUCCCAAGCUGCCACUCGGUUGUGUGUCCUUCCCCAUCCUCCUUCUCCAGUGCAUGUUUCUUGCCGGCCGCUUCCCCCCCCCCCUUUCUCACUUCACUUGAAAGCCCUUGUGGGGCUGGCCAGAAACGGGAGCCAAAAAUGUGACCCGGGAUUCUUUUUUUUUUUAAGCUUCUGCCACACCACCCACUAGGGAUGGACAGUACACGUUUGGUUGGUUUCUUCGUUAUCGCCAUCCCAUCAACAAAAAGGCAUGGCUUCAGAUGUAGCAAGGUCCUGCUCCAGACGGUAGAGGUCCUCCAUCUGAUGGUGGAGAUUCUCCAUCUGAUGGUGGAAGUCCUUCAUCUGAUGGUGGUCUUCCAUUUUCCAUUGGCUGGUGGAAGUCCUCCAUCGGAUGGUGGAGGUCCUCCUCCAGAUGGUAGAGGUCCUCCAUCUGAUGGUAGAGGUCCUCCAUCUGAUGGUAGAGGUCCUCCAUCUGAUGGUAGAGGUCCUCCAUCUGAUGGUGGAAGUCCUCCAUCUGAUGGUGGAGGUCCUCCUCCAAAUCUUAGAGGUCCUGUCACUGUGGUGGUACUGGUGUGCACAAUCUAGAGUGAGAUCCACGUCUGGCACUGCAGUCUCAAGCCUCACGUAUGUGGACUGGAGCAGUACCUAGCCCCUUAGAAACUGCCCUUGCAAGUGGAUGAUAGGAGCUGCUGGUCCUCUACUCUGGGUGUGAUUUAAACCAAAUCCCUGCGGUGAGCCGAUGCUGAUGUGCUUCUCAAUGACUAGCUUUGUGGCAGCAACCAGGAGCACGGACAUAGCUGGUCUUUCACCCAUUUACACAUGAGCUCUGAGACUACUGUAGCAGCCAUUCUACAUCCUUGCUGAGGCCUAACUCCGCAGAAAGGGAGACACCACUCCAAAGUCCUCCUCAAUGGGAUCUUCCUCGUGCAUGCAACCUUGCAGAAGCCUCAGUGGGUGUUCCUGUCUGGCUCCUGUUGUUUAAUUAACUUUUGAACAUUAAGAGACAACAGUGAUCAGAAUCGAGACCUGUCCUGUAGUGAUUUUGCUCAAGGAUCUUAUGAUGUUUCACCACCUUCUGACCCACUUGCUUGCUGCAGGUGUGUGGGCAAUGGCUGGGUUGUAGCCCUGGGCGGUGGGGAGUUCUUGUCUCACUGCAGCAUCUCAACACUAAGUGCUGCAACAGGCCGUGGAAAAUCCCUUGUGUAGGACUGGAGUGAGUUUGUAAAUAAAGCACUGCGUGUGGAAAGUGGCCUCCUGACCACUCUGCUGCCACGUCUGAUGUCCAUUUCCAGCCAAGGUUUAAUCUCUUCCGUAAACUCGAAUGGAUUGAUUUAAAAUGAAGAAAAAACUAAGAUUUGAAAUGGAAAAGAUAAAUAUACAUGGUUUUUAAGUUUAAAAUAAAUGAUGGGGUUUUCACCGAAUGAUCUAGCCUCGUGUUGGUACCAUGUAGUGUUCUGUCUUUUUUAACAGUGUGUUCCAAUAUGCAAAGUCCUUUCCUAAGCUGUGUGAAUAAAUUGGUGGCUGGUUUCUGCUCUGAC
This is an RNA transcript of Leucoraja erinaceus (little skate), 2733 nucleotides long. It is a transcript of the gene named ubiquitin-conjugating enzyme E2 D4-like, with no coding region annotated. NCBI's taxonomy places the organism in Eukaryota, Metazoa, Chordata, Chondrichthyes, Rajiformes, Rajidae. The record is from RefSeq and is a predicted model, not a curated record. The transcript is spliced from 9 exons.